CCCAGCUGCAGGCAUCUGUCUAGGUUGCCUUGUACCUAGGCAAGUGUUACACUGCUGGGAGAAAAGCAGCCAAUCAGUGGUUGGCAUUCUGGGCCUAGUUAAUGCCAACUCUGUGUUAACUAAACCAGUGUGCCAACACA
This is a small nucleolar RNA of Ochotona princeps (American pika), 140 nucleotides long. Its record names the gene SNORA74. It matches the Rfam family "Small nucleolar RNA SNORA74". Rfam says of the family: U19 belongs to the H/ACA class of snoRNAs. snoRNAs bind a number of proteins (including dyskerin, Gar1p and Nop10p in the case of the H/ACA class) to form snoRNP complexes. This class are thought to guide the sites of modification of uridines to pseudouridines by forming direct base pairing interactions with substrate RNAs. NCBI's taxonomy places the organism in Eukaryota, Metazoa, Chordata, Mammalia, Lagomorpha, Ochotonidae. The record is from Ensembl.